CAUUUUGCUGACGUCCAUGGUCCCCGCGAGGGGAUAACAGGGAAUCCGGUGCGAGCCUUGGCUUUAGUCCGGAACUGCCCCCGCAACUGUAGGCGGAGACGGGCGCUCAAUAGUCCACUGGCCGAAAGGCUGGGAAGGCGAGCGCCCGGUUCGAUCCGCGAGCCAGGAGACCUACCAUGGAAGUGACUUUCAC
RNAcentral lists this non-coding RNA (193 nucleotides) under Devosia epidermidihirudinis. The record is from RNAcentral. Lineage: Bacteria; Pseudomonadati; Pseudomonadota; Alphaproteobacteria; Hyphomicrobiales; Devosiaceae.